RNAcentral lists this ribosomal RNA (253 nucleotides) under uncultured bacterium. RNAcentral describes it as "partial 16S ribosomal RNA". It matches the Rfam family "Bacterial small subunit ribosomal RNA", at positions 524 to 776 of the family's 1533-position model. The record is from RNAcentral.
UACAGAGGGUGCAAGCGUUGUUCGGAUUCACUGGGCGUAAAGGGUGCGUAGGCGGUCGGGUAAGUCUGAUGUGAAAUCUCACAGCUUAACUGUGAAACUGCAUUGGAUACUAUCCGGCUCGAGGAAUGGAGGGGAGACUGGAAUACUUGGUGUAGCAGUGAAAUGCGUAGAUAUCAAGUGGAACACCAGUGGCGAAGGCGAGUCUCUGGACAUUCCCUGACGCUGAGGCACGAAAGCCAGGGGAGCAAACGGG